RNAcentral lists this ribosomal RNA (426 nucleotides) under uncultured Burkholderia sp. RNAcentral's name for it is "bacterial SSU rRNA". It matches the Rfam family "Bacterial small subunit ribosomal RNA", at positions 356 to 774 of the family's 1533-position model. The record is from RNAcentral. Lineage: Bacteria; Pseudomonadati; Pseudomonadota; Betaproteobacteria; Burkholderiales; Burkholderiaceae.
GGGGAAUUUUGGACAAUGGGCGCAAGCCUGAUCCAGCAAUGCCGCGUGUGUGAAGAAGGCCUUCGGGUUGUAAAGCACUUUUGUCCGGAAAGAAAACCUCGUGGUUAAUACCCGUGGGGGAUGACGGUACCGGAAGAAUAAGCACCGGCUAACUACGUGCCAGCAGCCGCGGUAAUACGUAGGGUGCAAGCGUUAAUCGGAAUUACUGGGCGUAAAGCGUGCGCAGGCGGUUCGCUAAGACAGAUGUGAAAUCCCCGGGCUUAACCUGGGAACUGCAUUUGUGACUGGCGGGCUAGAGUAUGGCAGAGGGGGGUAGAAUUCCACGUGUAGCAGUGAAAUGCGUAGAGAUGUGGAGGAAUACCGAUGGCGAAGGCAGCCCCCUGGGCCAAUACUGACGCUCAUGCACGAAAGCGUGGGGAGCAAACA